AAAAAUAGUAAUAAUUCAAACUAGCCUUAGUAAGCAUGUUAUCUUAAAGUGUUUCAUAAAACGUAAUCAUUAAAUCAUGUUUUUCAUGUAUACAUUUCUACUAUUAAAACAUGCAUUUUUAGAAGGGGUCCACUCACCGUACACCGAUGGUGCAAAGCUGUACCAAAAAGGUAUAGCGGAAUCACCGCUAAUAAUUGCACAUAUUCACAUAAAGGAGUACCUUUAGUCAAACUAUAUUUAAACGAUUGAAUUUGAGAAAACGGACUUCAAAAACGGGUCCAGGACGUCGAAAUUAGCUUAUGAAAGGUCCUGGACAAAACCCUGAAAAGUCAAUUAAAAAAUCAACGUUGAUUGUUGACCGGUCAACUUCAAAGUCAACUCUGACAGUUGACCGAGUCAACGUUGACCGUUGACCAAGUCAACAGUCAAGGUCAACUGGUCAAAUGUCAAAGUCAAAUUUGGGCUUAGAUUGGGUUGGGCUAAAAAGGCCUUAGGGGUUUUGGGUUUUAAACUAAGGGUUAAUGGGUUUGGAAACUCAUAUUGGCCCAAGGCCUAAUCUGCUUGGUUCUAUACACACACACACACGGGCCUAAUGCCCUAAAUAGAAAAUGGCCCAAGGCCUUAUUUCUAUAACAGAAACUAAAAAGGUUUUUAGGUUGGGCUAGAGGGCUACGGGCCCUAAUCCUAAUGGCCCGAAGGCCUUUUAGGUCCUAAACUAAUUAAUUAAAAACAAAAGAAAAACAAAUGGGUUAGGGGGAUUGGGCUAGGCUCACCACACGGGCCUAAGGCCCGCUUGACUCAGAAACGGCUUGGAGGGCCUGGUUUCGUCGGAGAACAACGGAGCUUCAACAGCUCCGGCCGACCACCACACGCAACCCUAGACCUCGAUCUAGGUAUCAAAACGAAGAGCAAGACAAAGGGAGUAACUAUAUACCUUCCUUUCGUCGUGGAACGGCCGGAGAUGGCCGGAAUCUCCCCUUACACCCUCAGGAUCGCCGGAGAUGGGUGUGCCUACACCCGAGGUGAUUUCGUUCUAAAAACCUCCAAAAACACACAUAAAACUCAAUUAAAA
RNAcentral lists this long non-coding RNA (1072 nucleotides) under Malus domestica (apple). RNAcentral's name for it is "long non-coding RNA (MDOM_LNC009755)". Lineage: Eukaryota; Viridiplantae; Streptophyta; Magnoliopsida; Rosales; Rosaceae. The record is from RNAcentral.